GCGAUUUCACUAAGGCUUCCAAACUCUUUUCUAAGGAAUUAAGACGUUUAUCCGAAUCAUUAAAACCAGGAGGAUUCAAAGGUGUUUGAAUUGGGUUAGGAAAUGAGUUCGGACUUUGGGUUGGGCAAGAGUUUGGGUUAGGCCUUUGAAAAUUUGUUUGAGGAGUUUGAAAAGAAGUUGGGCCUUGAUUUUGAAAAAUUUGACCUUGGGUCCAUGAGAAAUUUGGGUGAUUUCU
RNAcentral lists this long non-coding RNA (235 nucleotides) under Daucus carota (carrot). Its description in RNAcentral is "long non-coding RNA (DCAR_LNC004119)". Lineage: Eukaryota; Viridiplantae; Streptophyta; Magnoliopsida; Apiales; Apiaceae. The record is from RNAcentral.